AAUGACCGCUGGCGGCGUGCUUAACACCUCCGACUCGUACGGAGUAAGAAGAGCUUGACCUUCUGGAUCCGUGGCGAUCGUGUGAGUAACACGUGAGUAACUUGUGCUAGACUCCGGUAUGAGAGCUGGAAACGGAGUUUAAUACCGGACAUGAGACAGAGCUGGAUGGCUACUGACUGGAAACUUUUUCGGUCUGGGAUGGACUCGCGGCCCCUCAGCUUGUUGGCGAGGUAGCGGCUCCCCAAGGCAACGCCGGGUCGCCGGCCUGAGAGGGCGACCGGCCACACUGGGACUGAGACACGGCCCAGACUCCUACGGGAGGCAGCAGUGGGGAAUAUUGCACAAUGGGCGAAAGCCUGAUGCAGCGACGCCGCGUGGGGGAUGACGGCCUUCGGGUUGUAAACCUCUUUCAGCAGGGAAGAAGCGAAAGUGACGGUACCUGCAGAAGAAGCACCGGCUAACUACGUG
This 468-nucleotide ribosomal RNA is filed under the name uncultured bacterium. RNAcentral's name for it is "partial 16S ribosomal RNA". It matches the Rfam family "Bacterial small subunit ribosomal RNA", at positions 29 to 507 of the family's 1533-position model. The record is from RNAcentral.